GGGAAAGAAUGUUGGUAGACCCUCAAAUAUCUGAGGGUUUUUCAAUCUUUUUUUCUUUAAGUCUGUGUAAUAAAGAGGAACUUUCCGAUGGUGAGGAGCUAGAUUACAUCGUUCUUCCUCAGUAUUUAGUAAUGUUUCUAAAAGCGUUACAGAAAAGAAAAAGAAUAAAAAAAAAGAGGAGGAUUGAGAAUCAGCAUUAUUUUAAAAUUGCCUUUGUCAGCAAGCCAAUUAAAAUCACAUUACACUCUCUACUAGUCAAGUCAUACUAGAAAAAUUCUAGAUCCAAGGAAAACAGAAAUUCUGUAUUUACCCUCCACCAGCUUGCAUUGCAUUCCACUUUUAUUACUUGAGACUCAUUGAACCAUUGUUUUGAUGCAUCUAUGAUGGCCAGAAAUCCUUCACAAUCAAAAGAAUUGACUAACUCUUCUAGUAAAAGCAAGCCUACAAGAAGCAAUUUUCUGAUGAAGCUCGUGAAUACCUCUAUAAAAUAUACAUAAAUCCAUACGAACAAACCAAAUAACAGAAAUGCAAAA
Molecule: long non-coding RNA, 533 nt
Filed under: Trifolium pratense (red clover)
Lineage: Eukaryota; Viridiplantae; Streptophyta; Magnoliopsida; Fabales; Fabaceae
Description: long non-coding RNA (TPRA_LNC011078)
Source: RNAcentral